CCUACGGGAGACAGCAGUGAGGAAUAUUGGUCAAUGGACGAGAGUCUGAACCAGCCAAGCAGCGUGAAGGAUGACUGCUCUAUGGGUUGUAAACUUCUUUUAUAUGGGAAUAAAAUGUUACACGUGUGGGGUUUUGUAUGUAUCAUAUGAAUAAGGAUCGGCUAACUCCGUGCCAGCAGCCGCGGUAAUACGGAGGAUUCGAGCGUUAUCCGGAUUUAUUGGGUUUAAAGGGUGCGUAGGUGGAUUGUUAAGUCAGUUGUGAAAGCUUGCGGCUCAACCCUAGAAUUGCAUGUGAAACUGGCAGUCUUGAGUACAGUAGAGGUAGGCGGAAUGCGUGGUGUAGCGGUGAAAUGCUUAGAGAUCACACAGAACUCCGAUUGCGAAGGCAGCUCACUAAACUGCAACUGACGCUGAGGCUCGAAAGUGUGGGUAUCAAACAGGAUUAGAUACCCUGGUAGUC
Molecule: ribosomal RNA, 460 nt
Filed under: uncultured bacterium
Lineage: Bacteria
Description: partial 16S ribosomal RNA
Rfam family: Bacterial small subunit ribosomal RNA
Source: RNAcentral